This 72-nucleotide transfer RNA is filed under the name Bos taurus (domestic cattle). It matches the Rfam family "tRNA". Rfam says of the family: Transfer RNA (tRNA) molecules are approximately 80 nucleotides in length. Lineage: Eukaryota; Metazoa; Chordata; Mammalia; Artiodactyla; Bovidae. The record is from Rfam by way of RNAcentral. RNAcentral also lists the same sequence under 1 other name.
UCCCUAGUACCUUAGCUGGUAAAGAAUCUGCCUGCAAUGCAGGAGAUCUGGGUUCGAUCCUUGGGUUGGGAA